This 519-nucleotide ribosomal RNA is filed under the name uncultured bacterium. Its description in RNAcentral is "partial 16S ribosomal RNA". It matches the Rfam family "Bacterial small subunit ribosomal RNA", at positions 29 to 523 of the family's 1533-position model. The record is from RNAcentral.
AACGAACGCUGGCGGCGUGCCUAACACAUGCAAGUCGCGCGAGAAAGUGGGGGCAACCCCACGAGUAAAGCGGCGCACGGGUGAGUAAUACGUAGGUAACCUACCUUCGAGAUCGGGAUAACCUUCCGAAAGGAGGGCUAAUACUGGAUAAGACCACGGAGCUUCCGCUCUGGGGUUAAAGGUGGCCUCUGCUCGCAAGCCACCGCUAGAAUAUGGGCCUGCGCACCAUUAGCUAGGUGGUGGGGUAACGGCUCACCAAGGCGAGGAUGGUUAGCUGAUCUGAGAGGAUGAUCAGCCACACUGGGACUGAGACACUGCCCAGGCUCCUACGGGAGGCAGCAGUGGGGAAUCUUGGACAAUGGGGGAAACCCUGAUCCAGCGCCGCCGCGUGGGUGAAGAAGGCCUUCGGGUCGUAAAGCCCUGUCGGGGGGGAAGAAACUUCCGCCGGUGAACAAUCGGCGGAAUUGACGGUACCCCCUAAGGAAGCACCGGCUAACUCCGUGCCAGCAGCCGCGGUAA